Musca domestica (house fly) is the source of this 278-nucleotide long non-coding RNA. RefSeq lists it as uncharacterized. The record is from RefSeq and is a predicted model, not a curated record. The transcript is spliced from 2 exons. NCBI's taxonomy places the organism in Eukaryota, Metazoa, Arthropoda, Insecta, Diptera, Muscidae.
GGGAGAACGCCGUAUAAAGGCCCAACACAGGAAAAUUAUAUCAAAGUUCACCACAUCCCACCAUGCAGCUGUUACCAAUUUUGAUCGGCUUAGUAGCCCUAGUCUUUAUGUCGAACCCCGCAUCGGCUGAGCCAGCACGCGGUAUUCCCCGUAAUGGAAAAAUCAAGGGCUGAGAUGUGACUGCCUAAAAGUAUGCGGCUAAAACUAAACAUAUAAAAACUUAUUAAAAUAAAAAUAUAUUUUUUCCAAAUCCAAUGUAAGCGUGGAUUUUUUUUUAA